This is an RNA transcript of Alnus glutinosa, 725 nucleotides long. RefSeq lists it as uncharacterized. Lineage: Eukaryota; Viridiplantae; Streptophyta; Magnoliopsida; Fagales; Betulaceae. The transcript is spliced from 4 exons. The record is from RefSeq and is a predicted model, not a curated record.
AUUGCGAAAAAAGUGAAAACGGUGCGUUUUAGGAGAAACAGAGAUGCUGGCUUCCUGGCUGGUGGCGUUGGUCUGCUCUGCUUCUGUUUGUCUAGAGCUCCCUAAUCAUCUCCUCCAAAUUUUCGUGGUCGUAGGGCUUUCGACGUCGCGAACUGUCUAGUUGAGAAGUGGAUCCAUGAGAUCAUUUUAGGGGCAGACUGGGCAGUGUUGCCCUUGACCAGACCAUGGAUAGUAGAGUUAGCACUCAGCCUAAAAAUCAACAGAAGAAAAUGGGGUAUGAAGAGAAGAAUGCUGCGGUUCAUGAAGAAAUGAAGAGAAUGAAGCGACUUCCUGUGAACAGCACCUAUGCUACUCAUCGUUUGCGGGUCCUCAAUAAAAUAUUGCAACUUAUAUCCAUUCAGAGAACUGCAGCACAGGAUGAGGAGUUGGAGUUGCUUUUUGCUGGGCUGUCUCUGUGAACUAACCAGUCUAGGCACUGGUCAGUUUCAGUUGAAUUGAUCUUUUGGAAUAAGUUUAAAAUGUCAGAUCUUGGAUCCUCUGGACCUCUAUGCCUGGAAAAAAAAAAGGUGGAUUUACAGAAGGUGGUGCAUAUCUGGCACGCUGAUGUUGGUGGUUGUGUAUAUCUUUUGUAGCUAUGCCUGUGGAUAUUCUCUGUAUGUAUGGGUUAAUAAUCCGGGAACAAAGUAUGCUCUAAUUUAAUCAUGAAUUUUUCCCACUUUGCUUCA